Molecule: microRNA precursor, 73 nt
Organism: Bison bison bison
Lineage: Eukaryota; Metazoa; Chordata; Mammalia; Artiodactyla; Bovidae
Source: Ensembl
UGUCCUCGUAAAACUGUACUGGAAGGAUGGAUGGCAGGAACUUGUACCGUUCAGCUUCCAAUACUUUGGAACA